Molecule: non-coding RNA, 26 nt
Filed under: Mus musculus (house mouse)
Lineage: Eukaryota; Metazoa; Chordata; Mammalia; Rodentia; Muridae
Source: RNAcentral
UAGUCAUGACUCAUUCCACAACUCGA